This 253-nucleotide ribosomal RNA is filed under the name uncultured bacterium. RNAcentral's name for it is "partial 16S ribosomal RNA". It matches the Rfam family "Bacterial small subunit ribosomal RNA", at positions 524 to 776 of the family's 1533-position model. The record is from RNAcentral.
UACGUAGGGUGCAAGCGUUGUCCGGAAUUAUUGGGCGUAAAGAGCUCGUAGGCGGUCUGUCACGUCGGCUGUGAAAUCCCGAGGCUCAACCUCGGGUCUGCAGUCGAUACGGGCAAACUAGAGUAUUGCAGGGGAGACUGGAAUUCCUGGUGUAGCGGUGAAAUGCGUAGAUAUCUGGAGGAAUACCGGUGGCGAAGGCGGCAUCCUGGACCGACAUUGACGCUGAGGAGCGAAAGCUAGGGGAGCAAACGGG